RNAcentral lists this ribosomal RNA (468 nucleotides) under uncultured bacterium. RNAcentral describes it as "partial 16S ribosomal RNA". It matches the Rfam family "Bacterial small subunit ribosomal RNA", at positions 28 to 507 of the family's 1533-position model. The record is from RNAcentral.
GACGAACGCUGGCGGCGUGCUUAACACAUGCAAGUCGAACGGAAAGGCCCUGCUUUUGUGGGGUGCUCGAUUGGCGCACGGGUGAGUAACACGUGUGUAACCUGCCCUUGACUUUGUGAUAACUUCAGGAAACUGGGGCUCAUACCGGAUAGGAGCUCCUGCUGCAUGUUGGGGGAUGGAAAGUUUCGGUGGUUGGGGAUCGACUCGCGGGUUAUCAGCUUGUUGGUGGGGUAGUGGCUUACCAAGGCUUUGACGGGUAGCCGGCCUGAGAGGGUGACCGGCCACAUUGGGACUGAGAUACGGCCCAGACGGCUACGGGAGGCAGAAGGGGGGAAUAUUGCACAAUGGGCGGAAGCCUGAUGCAGCAACGCCGCGUGCGGGAUGACGGCCUUCGGGGUGUAAACCGCUUUCGCCGGUGACGAAGCGUGAGUGACGGUAAUGGGUAAAGAAGCACCGGCUAACUACGUG